Molecule: long non-coding RNA, 363 nt
Filed under: Homo sapiens (human)
Lineage: Eukaryota; Metazoa; Chordata; Mammalia; Primates; Hominidae
Description: long intergenic non-protein coding RNA 677
Source: RNAcentral
ACUUCCCCUCUCUAAGCUCAGGCAUGAGGGUCAAUGGUAACAUACGUGAAGUCCUCAAGACAAGGAAAGUCUUCUGAAAAUGGGGCAGCAUGGAGGCCCAAGGGAUGACAGCCAAUGGGGCCCAUAGGGCAGGAGCAGUCCUUACCCUCUUCUCGCAGAUGCAGAAAGCAGUUCCCAAGAGGCCAGGCACUUCCAGAGGAGCCAAAGGCCAGCCUACGGCUCCUCCCCAGCAGGAAGCCAGCAUCACAUGCUGGGUGGCGAUGUUUGUGACCAGUGGCCAGCGGCUGUCCCAUUCCCCAGCUCCCCAGGGCACAGGCCAGGGGCAGUGAGCAGGGGGCUCUGCCUGGUGGGGAGGGCAGCAGA